AGUGAACGCUGGCGGUAGGCCUAACACAUGCAAGUCGAACGGCAGCGCAGUAAGAGCUUGCUCUUACGGGUGGCGAGUGGCGGACGGGUGAGGAAUACAUCGGAAUCUACUUUUUCGUGGGGGAUAACGUAGGGAAACUUACGCUAAUACCGCAUACGACCUACGGGUGGAAGCAGGGGAUCUUCGGACCUUGCGCGAUUGAAUGAGCCGAUGUCGGAUUAGCUAGUUGGCGGGGUAAAGGCCCACCAAGGCGACGAUCCGUAGCUGGUCUGAGAGGAUGAUCAGCCACACUGGAACUGAGACACGGUCCAGACUCCUACGGGAGGCAGCAGUGGGGAAUAUUGGACAAUGGGCGCAAGCCUGAUCCAGCCAUACCGCGUGGGUGAAGAAGGCCUUCGGGUUGUAAAGCCCUUUUGUUGGGAAAGAAAAGCAGCAGGUUAAUACCCCGCUGUUCUGACGGUACCCAAAGAAUAAGCACCGGCUAACUUCGUG
RNAcentral lists this ribosomal RNA (492 nucleotides) under uncultured bacterium. RNAcentral describes it as "partial 16S ribosomal RNA". It matches the Rfam family "Bacterial small subunit ribosomal RNA", at positions 29 to 507 of the family's 1533-position model. The record is from RNAcentral.